This 364-nucleotide ribosomal RNA is filed under the name uncultured bacterium. RNAcentral describes it as "bacterial SSU rRNA". It matches the Rfam family "Bacterial small subunit ribosomal RNA", at positions 534 to 896 of the family's 1533-position model. The record is from RNAcentral.
GCAAGCGUUGUCCGGAUUUAUUGGGCGUAAAGAGCGUGUAGGCGGCCAUGCAGGUCCGUUGUGAAAACUCGAGGCUCAACCUCGAGACGCCGAUGGAAACCGCAUGGCUAGAGUCCGGAAGAGGAGAGUGGAAUUCCUGGUGUAGCGGUGAAAUGCGCAGAUAUCAGGAAGAACACCCGUGGCUAAGGCGGCUCUCUAGUACGGUACUGACGCUGAGACGCGAAAGCGUGGGGAGCGAACAGGAUUAGAUACCCUGGUAGUCCACGCCGUAAACGAUGGGUGCUAGGUGUGGGGGGUGUCGACUCCCUCCGUGCCGAAGCUAACGCAUUAAGCACCCCGCCUGGGGAGUACGGCCGCAAGGCUA